UUCUUACUCCCUCCGUCCGAAAAUACUUGUCCGAGGAAUGGAUGUAUCUAGAUGUAUUUUAAUUCUACAUACAUCCAUUUGUAUCCAUUUUGACGACAAGUAUUUCCGGACGGAGGGAGUACUUA
Molecule: non-coding RNA, 125 nt
Organism: Triticum aestivum (bread wheat)
Lineage: Eukaryota; Viridiplantae; Streptophyta; Magnoliopsida; Poales; Poaceae
Source: Rfam